Molecule: RNA transcript, 2515 nt
Organism: Mobula hypostoma (lesser devil ray)
Lineage: Eukaryota; Metazoa; Chordata; Chondrichthyes; Myliobatiformes; Myliobatidae
Exons: 19
Source: RefSeq, a predicted model, not a curated record
GGUGCUCACCAGUCGGUGUCCCAGUCCUGGAGGCUUGAGGAUCCCGGCAAGUUCAAGGUGCCAGUCGGAGGAACCUGAGACUCUGGAACCAUCUCUCAAUAGACUGGGAGUUUCGGCUCCCGCUUGACACGUGGACAUGUUGUCACUCAUUCUCCAGUUCGUGCUUGUUGUGGCUCACACGAAAGCUGAAAAGGAAGAAGUGGUUGGUGUCCUUGGUUCAUCAGUUUUACUGGAUCCUGAAAUCAUCGUUGAUUCCAGCAAGAAUGAAAUCCGUUGGACUUUCAAAGCCAGCAACAAAAGCCUUGAUGUUAUUUUGAUGUACAUCCCACGUCACUCCACAUUGGAACCAAGUGAACAGUUCAAGGACCGUUUACAAUUCAACGCUUUGAGUGGUGCACUGACGAUAAGCAGAUUAAAUGCCAGUGACCAAGGAGAUUACACCUUCUCUGUUGAUGGGAAAGAGUUGAAAAUAAUGGAGUUGCUUGUCAUUGAUAAAGUUAAAGAAGAGGUUGGUCUCCUUGUCUCAGCAGUUUUACUGGAUCCUGAACUCAAAGUUGACCCCAGCAAGAGUGAAAUAGUUUGGACCUUCAUCAGCAGGAGCAUUUUGCAUCAUGUCCCAGGUCACGGCUCAGUGGAACCGAGUGACCAGUUCAAGUUUCGUCUGCACUUUAAUACUUCUAAUGGUGCUCUGACUGUGAAUGAAGCAGAACGUGGUGACCAAGGAGAUUAUACCUUCAUUGUGGAUGGACAAGAGCUGAGAAGAAUACAACUACGCCUCUUUGAUGAGCUGUCAGAAGGUUCCAUAUUUACCAACAUCGAAUCACCGGGUUUCACGGUCGAACUCACCUGUGAUGUCUUUGGAGAUUCUAAUGUGUAUCAGUGGCAAAAGAAUGGAGGGGAAAUCUCCCAGCGUCACCAACUAACAGAUGAAAACAGAACACUUGUUAUCCCAAGUGCUUCAUCUGAAGACUGUGGAGUGUACACCUGCAUCACAACCAAUCCUGUCAGCUCCAUCCAGACAAGCUACACCUUAAUGUUGCGAGGGCUUUCCCUCAAGGACAUUAUAAUGAUUGCCACAUUGAUUGCAGGACAGGUGAUUUCUGCACCAUCUCUUCAUUCAGCCAUGUUACCGGACCAGUGGAGGUGGAAAACUCUCGGAGGACAUCUGGCAUACAGAUUUUAUUUUCUAAUCCUGUGGAUCUGUAAUACUUUGUCACUUACCGCCACGUACAUUGCAUUAACAUAUUGGAUUGUGGUUAAAGGUCUUUCACCGUUGGACUUUGUAGUGAUUACUGUGAUGAUCGUAGAACUGCAGCUUUCUUCAUUUUAUAUCACAGCAUUUAUGUUUGUGACCCAGAUCCAGGAAUUGUUUCAAGGUUCUCAGAUGAUCACAAUUUGGUGGAACUUCAAAGCCGUCUGUAAUUGUGUUCUCACCAAUUGUUUCAUCAUUGCCUGGAUCGUCAGCGCGACUAUAUUAGGCACUUACACCAUGGGAACUGUAACUCUUGUCUUGUCAAUGGUACUGCCAAUUGUCUUCAUUUUAAUUCUGAUGUGUUGGUUCAUAAAAGAGGAUUUGGACAAAGGUGAUUCCGUCAAGGUCACUUUAAUUAAAGCCUCGCUGCUCGUUGGCCCGAUGCUGCCACUGGUGAAUGUUAUUCUUCUGUUUUACGUGAUCAACAAGAAGAUUUCUUAUAGAAAAAUACCUUUCUGCCAAACUGGUACCUUUAACCUGGUAUUCUUACUUGGCAUUUCUGUUAGCACUUUGAUUCCAGGUUUUUACAGCAAGGACACUGUCACAUUUACUGCAUCAAUCACAAUGUUUGUGUUGCUUCUGGUGGUUUUUAUUUCAUUUGUGAUUCUUUGGUGGAAAACAGUUUGGUAUGAAGGCUUAUCUAGAUUUAUAGGAUGGAUGUCUGUCUAUAAUGUUGGUUUUCUCAUUGUCAUCAUCAUUGCUACAACUUUCUGGAUGACAUUUAAAGGCCUCAGACCAGAGGAUGUAGGAGUUGCCGUUACAUCGAUGGUGGGACUGGUGUUUUCUACAGCAUAUGCUAUUAUAUUCAUGUGCUGGUCAAGGAAAGGAUCUCCAGAAGACAAGCAGUGGUGGUGGCGACUGAAUAUUUGUAACAUUGUGGCUCUUGUCUUCAUCCUCAUUGCCCUCCUUUGCUGGAUUGUGUCUAAAGAUCAAAGCUGCGAGACCAACAUUCCAGUCUGGGUCAUAUUCACUCUAUCAGCAGUCACAGUUGUUAUAACGUUAUCCAGAUCCUUUCCAGUUUGCAGAGGUAGCCUACAUGGUCACAGGGAGAAUGUACGCACAAACUCCUUCCAGGCAGCAGUGGAACUUGAACCAGAGUCAGCUGAACUGUAAAACGUCGUGCUAGCCUCUGCGCCACCCCAAAUCAGGAUGGAAAAGACAGAGUGGGAGAUGGAUCUGGCAUGCAGAAACAAAGGAACUAACGAGAAAAACUGUGCUGAAAUAGAACAGGAUCCUGGAGAAAUGCAGGAAUUACAAACUCUC